AUGGCGGGCGUCAGCUGCCACUUCCUCACCUCGCCGGCGCCGGCGAGGCCGCUGCGCUCCCGCCCGAGCUUCCCCGCCGUCAGUGGCCGCGCCCACUGGCCGGGCAGAGUGCGAACUCGGAUCAGUUGCUGCUCCAACAAUUCAGAGGAGGAUUGCGCGAGAAGCGAGCCUCCCAGCGAUUCCAAGGAAGAAGAAAGUAUUAGCUCCAGGCGAAGAUGUCUAGCUUGCCUCUGUGCUGUAACAUUAAUCAGUGCAACGGGCCCAACGUUUUAUGCGCCAAAAGGAUUUGCCGCGGACAUGACGAACAAGCCUGGCAUUCAAAAAGCUGUAUGCAGAAAUUGCGGUGGCGGCGGUGCUAUAAUAUGUGACAUGUGUGGUGGCACAGGAAAAUGGAAGGCCCUCAACCGAAAGAGAGCAAAAGAUGUUUACGAAUUCACAGAAUGCCCAAAUUGCUAUGGCCGUGGGAAACUGGUGUGCCCAAUUUGUCUCGGAACCGGCGUGCCCAACAACAAAGGACUCCUGCGGCGACCGGGCGCCAAAGAGCUGCUGGACAAGAUGUACAAUGGCAAGCUAUUGCCCAGCUCGUAG
RNAcentral lists this ribosomal RNA (588 nucleotides) under Triticum aestivum (bread wheat). RNAcentral describes it as "partial small subunit ribosomal RNA". Lineage: Eukaryota; Viridiplantae; Streptophyta; Magnoliopsida; Poales; Poaceae. The record is from RNAcentral.